RNAcentral lists this non-coding RNA (106 nucleotides) under Loxodonta africana (African savanna elephant). Lineage: Eukaryota; Metazoa; Chordata; Mammalia; Proboscidea; Elephantidae. The record is from RNAcentral.
UUGCUGUAUGAAAGAAGAGAAGGUUAGCACUUUCCCUUGACAAGGAUGGUAGAAGCCCUUGGGCCUUACAACACGCAUAACAGUUAAGGCAUUGCCACCAUUUUUU